AGGAUGAACGCUGGCGGCGUGCUUAACACAUGCAAGUCGAACGAUGAAGGCUGGAGCUUGCUCUGGCUGGAUUAGUGGCGAACGGGUGAGUAACACGUGAGUAACCUGCCCCAGACUCUGGGAUAAGCGCUGGAAACGGCGUCUAAUACCGGAUACGAGCUUCCACCGCAUGGUGAGGAGCUGGAAAGUAAUUUCGGUCUGGGAUGGACUCGCGGCCUAUCAGCUUGUUGGUGAGGUAAUGGCUCACCAAGGCGACGACGGGUACGCCGGCCUGAGAGGGUCGACCGGCCACACGUGGACUGAGACGACCGGCCCACGACUCCGUACGGGAGGCGAGCGAGUAGGGGGAAUUAGUUGACACAAGUUGGGCGACGAACG
Molecule: ribosomal RNA, 378 nt
Filed under: uncultured soil bacterium
Lineage: Bacteria
Description: bacterial SSU rRNA
Rfam family: Bacterial small subunit ribosomal RNA
Source: RNAcentral